Molecule: long non-coding RNA, 2886 nt
Filed under: Mus musculus (house mouse)
Lineage: Eukaryota; Metazoa; Chordata; Mammalia; Rodentia; Muridae
Description: long non-coding RNA chr5:117155430-117158316
Source: RNAcentral
CAUUCUCCUCCUCCCUUUCAGAUCCAGCUGCGCAGUCACUUCUGGUUAGCUCAACAGAUGGACUUCCAUGAUGCUGGUACAUACGUGAGGUUCACAGCUGUGGCUUCCUGUGGACUGAUUAAAUUUGCUUUAUCCAUGUGACAUUCCAUGUGCCCCAGAGUAAAUAACUGCUUCAUUUCUUCUGCUAACUGGUAUAAUCCAUUCUUCUAUUCUCUCCCAGAACCAUAAAUAUCCUCUCAGUGUGCUCAGAUCUACCGGCUAGCCUUCCAUCUCAUCUUCUCGGUGCCUAUCUACCACAGUGAGAUGCCGAUUCACACGUCAGCCCACAUGGCUCGUCACGCCUCCAACAGGACUUACAUAUGCCGACUGCUCCAUAAACUGCCUUUAAACCCAAUAGACUUACGGUCAUUACAUGUAUUAUUCUCUUUUGAAAUGGGUUCUCUCUAUGUUACCCAGAGUAACUUAAAGCUCAUAGCAGCUUCAUACCACCAUCCUCCUGCCUCAGCUUCCCAAGGAGCUGGGAACACACACAUACACACACGCACACACACACAGUCCAGAUAAUAGUCUUUUUGGCCACACUGCUGUUCUGUGUGCCCCUGUGGUAGCUAUCCUUCUGAUUAUUUCUUUUCUGAAAUCAUGUUAGAAGUUUACAUCGUGUACAGCAAAAUUAGUAUGUGUGUGGGUUUCUAGAUUCUGCGUCUCACUGUGGAGCCCUGGCUGGCGUGAAACUCCCCGUGUAGAUCAGGCUGGCCUCAGAGACCCACAGUGGGACUUCUGCCUCCUGAGUCCUAGGAUUAAAGGUUUUUACCACCAUGUCUAUCUUUUUGUUUGUUUUUUUCCUUUAAAAAAAAUCCAUAUUACUUACUGGUUGUGUACACUCCUGUAUGCACAACCAGGUGGUGGGUGUUUAGCUGACAGGUGUCCUGUGGGUUUGUUCCAUGUGUGGAGCUCAGGCUGUCUGGCGAGUGGCAAGUGUUUUUACCUGUGGGCCUUCUCACUAGGCCUACAGUUUCCAUCAGUACCCGAGAGCAUGAAUUCUUGUAUUUUUCCUGAAUAUCCUUGACUCUGUGCAACCCUGAUGCUUGUUCUUCCAGACUGAGUUGGAAAACUAUAGCCCACAAGCCAGAUCUGUCUGCCUUGCCACCUGCUUUUAUGCAACCUGAAAGUUUUAUGAAACCUAAACUUAAUUUUUGUAUUUUGACUGCUGGGGUAAAUCAGAAUAAUCAUACUUUUUUUUUUCUUGAGAUGGGGGGGUCUCGCUGUGUAACCCGGGAUGGCCUGAAACUCACUCUCUAGACCAGGCUGGCUUUGAACUCAUAGAGAUCACCUGCCUCCGCCUCUGAGCGCUGGGAUCAAAGGUGUGCACCACCACAUUCUGGAGCUCUUUUUUCUUUGUAAUUUCUUGUUUAAAUCAAACAUUGAUUAUAAACCACUGUGGAGACAUGAUGGAAGGUCUUUCUGUCAGCAUCUCAGCCAGGUGGAUGGAAUGACAAUGAGAAGUGGGCACUUGGGAAGAUGCUUUCCCGGGACUUAGAGUGUCAUUUCGAAAUUUCUUGUCGGUUUGCUGUAACACUUUCAUUUUAAUUAUGGCUCGAAGGCUAAAGUCCUUCAUUUUCUCUUUAACAUUUUUUUAAUUAAAAUAACACAGUAAUGUACAAUAUAGAAAGUAGACAACCACAGUCAAAUAAAAAUCACCAGUCUGGCUGGGCAUAGUGUCUGUCUGUCUGUCUAUCUCUAUCAUCUAUCUAUCCAUCCAUUUAUCAAUCUAUCUAUCAAUCUAUCUGUCUAUUUAUAUCUUUUGUCAGACUGUCCAUCCGUCCCUGUAUCUGUCUAGAGACAGGGUCUCACAAUGCAGCCUUGGCUGGUCUGAAAUUCACUCUGUGAUCCUGGCUGGCUUUGAACUCAGCAGUCUGUCUACCUCUGCUUCAGGACACUGGGACUAAAGGCAUGGGUUAGCAAUGGUAGCUUGAGCCUUGCUUUUGUGGUUAUUUGGUUUUGUUUUAUUUUUUUAAUUGUUGAUUUGUUUUGUUUUGGUGUAUUUGUUAGUUUCUUUGUUUUUUCAAGACAGGGUCUCUCUGUGUAUACCCUUGGCUGUCCUGGAAAGUCACUCUGUAAAGCAGGCUGGCCUUGAACUCUGCCUGCCUCUGCCUCCUGAGUGGUGGGAUUAAAGGCGUGUGCCGCCACUGCCCAGCAAAGCCACGCUUUUAAAAAUAAAAAUUUAAAACCAAUGUCACUGAAAUCCCAGAUAACAUGGAAGUUCUAUGCCGAUUAUUUUUCUCUCAGUUUACACAUCAUUUCCAUGUGUAAUGUAGGUUUUUUUGUUUUUGUUUUUUUUUUUAGUUGUUUCUUGAUUGGCUGUGUUUUAAUUGCAGGUGUCUAUCUGCACAGCACUUUGUAAAGAUUGUUAUUUUAUCUUCUGCAGAGCUGGGGACCGAAUCCAGGUUCUCAUGUAGCUAACGAGAAGUCCAUGUUUAUCCUCCACGACUGUGAUUAACACCGUCGUGACCACAAGCAAUCCAGGGGAGUAAAACACUGAGUUUCUCCUAGGUCGCAGCCUAUCAUCUAAGCAAGGCAAGGCAGGGAGCUUGGGAAGGCUGCCUCCUGCCUUGCUCAGGUAGCUUUCUGGUCUGGCCUGAGCCCACUGUAGAGAGGUGGCUCGACCUAUAAAGAGCUGUGUCUUCCUACAUCCCUACAUCAAUUAGCAAUCAAGAAAAUGCCAUACAGACAUGCCCAUAGUCCAGUCUGAUGGAGGCAGUUCUGUACUUGAGGCUUCCUCAUCCCAGGUGACUCUAGGUUUAUGUCAAGUUGACAGCUGAAGCUAACUGUGACAGGAGGUAAGGGCUAUACCAGUAGCCUGCAGGCUUAAAGGAUUUCUUUAAAUGC